Molecule: ribosomal RNA, 784 nt
Filed under: uncultured bacterium
Lineage: Bacteria
Description: bacterial SSU rRNA
Rfam family: Bacterial small subunit ribosomal RNA
Source: RNAcentral
GACGAACGCUGGCGGCGUGCCUAACACAUGCAAGUCGAGCGGAGCGGCGGACGGGUGAGUAACGCGUGAGCAACCUUUCCCAGACAGGGGAAUAACACACCGAAAGGUGUACUAAUACCGCAUAGUUUGGGGUGGGCUCGCGUCCGAUUAGGUAGUUGGUGAGGUAACGGCCCACCAAGCCGACGAUCGGUAGCCGACCUGAGAGGGUGAUCGGCCACAUUGGGACUGAGACACGGCCCAAACUCCUACGGGAGGCAGCAGUGGGGAAUAUUGGGCAAUGGAGGAAACUCUGACCCAGCAACGCCGCGUGGAGGAAGAAGGUUUUCGGAUCGUAAACUCCUGUCCUUGGAGACGCGGUAUCCAAGGAGGAAGCCCCGGCUAACUACGUGCCAGCAGCCGCGGUAAUACGUAGGGGGCAAGCGUUGUCCGGAAUAAUUGGGCGUAAAGGGCGCGUAGGCGGCUCGUAAGUCUGGAGUGAAAGUCCUGCUUUUAAGGUGGGAAUUGCUUUGGAUACUUCGGGCUUGAGUGCAGGAGAGGUUAGUGGAAUUCCCAGUGUAGCGGUGAAAUGCGUAGAGAUUGGGAGGAACACCAGUGGCGAAGGCGACUAACUGGACUGUAACUGACGCUGAGGCGCGAAAGUGUGGGGAGCAAACAGGAUUAGAUACCCUGGUAGUCCACACUGUAAACGAUGAAUGCUAGGUGUAGGGCUGUGCCGCAGUCAACACAAUAAGCAUUCCGCCUGGGGAGUACGGCCGCAAGGUUGCAACUCAAAGGAAUUGACGGA